UUCUCAGGGCAUACAAGUAUAUUCCUGGGGCACAAGCAAAAGCCUCCCUGGAGCACACAGAUAAUAAGAAUAAGAAAAUUUUCUGCCCCUGUCACCCAAGCAUUUCCCUGCAGCACAGAAGCACCUCCCUGGAACACUCAAGCACCUCACUGGAGCACCAAAGAAUCUCCCCGCCGCACUCCUACAUCUAAGUGGAGAAGCCAAGCAUCUCCCAGGCCUCCAGAACACCACCUGGGGCACACAACCAUCUCACUGGAGAUGGGAAGCACCUCGCUUGGCACCCAAGAGCUUCCAUGGGGUGCACAAGCACCUGCCAUGGUCAUUCAAGUAUGUCCCUGUGGGCACGCAGGCAUCUCCCCAGGGGACACAAACACCAACUUGGAGGAACCAAGCAUCUCCUCACAGCACUCCAGCAUCUCCAUGAAGCCAAGCAUCACACAAAAAGCACCCAACCAUUUCCCUGGACUACCCAAAAUCCAAAAGCUUUACCCUGUAUCAAACAAAUGCCCUCCUUGGGUACACAAGCACAUCUCCUGGGUACCCAGGUGUCUCCAAAUAGUACUCAAGCAUUUCUCUGCAGCCACCAAGGAACUUUCAGGAUCACCAGUCCACCUUCCUGGGACAUCCAAUAAACUUCCUGCAUCACCCAGGUGUCUUCUUGGAGAAACCAAGCAUCUCCUUGUGCACCAAGGGAGCAUCCGUACAGAGCAGCCAAGAAGCCUGAGGAGCACCCAGGUUGUUCUUGGGAUAGCCAAGAACCUCCACGGAGCAAGAAAGCAUCUCCUGAGGCACCCUGGCAUCUCAGGGGAGCACACAAGCGUCUCCUCUGCACACACCAGCACAUCCUCUGAGUUUCCUGGACCAUUCAGGCUCACACUGCGUUUCAGCCCCUGCUCCAUUGCGCACUCACCUCCCUGUCCUGCCCUGCUCUGCCCUCUGCUGCCUGCUGCCAGGGGCUUCCAUCCCGACUGGGGCCUGCCCGCACCCCUGGCCCUUUCUCCCAGCCUGGCUGCCGUGUCACAGCCCCACUGUGACACCUGGGUUACACAUCCACCACUGCCCCCUGCCCACUGUGACACCUGGGUGGCACAGCCACCGCUGCCCCCCUGCCUACUCUGACACCUGGGUGACAGCCACCGCUAACCUCCUGCUCACUGGGACUCCACUCAGUAUGUCUUUCUUUGGACUCGCAUAUUUGUCAGUGAUACUGUCGUGGUUUAACCCGGCCGGCAGCUA
RNAcentral lists this long non-coding RNA (1236 nucleotides) under Anas platyrhynchos platyrhynchos (common mallard). RNAcentral describes it as "lncRNA (ENSAPLG00000026105.1)". Lineage: Eukaryota; Metazoa; Chordata; Aves; Anseriformes; Anatidae. The record is from RNAcentral.